Molecule: ribosomal RNA, 1149 nt
Filed under: uncultured Synechococcus sp.
Lineage: Bacteria; Bacillati; Cyanobacteriota; Cyanophyceae; Synechococcales; Synechococcaceae
Description: bacterial SSU rRNA
Rfam family: Bacterial small subunit ribosomal RNA
Source: RNAcentral
CACAUGCAAGUCGAACGAACCUUCGGGUUAGUGGCGGACGGGUGAGUAACGCGUGGGAAUCUGCCCUCAGGAGGGGGAUAACGGCCGGAAACGGCCGCUAAUACCCCAUAUGCCGAGAGGUGAAAUGAAUUUCGCCUGAGGAUGAGCCCGCGUCUGAUUAGCUAGUUGGUGAGGUAAGAGCUCACCAAGGCAUCGAUCAGUAGCUGGUCUGAGAGGAUGAUCAGCCACACUGGGACUGAGACACGGCCCAGACUCCUACGGGAGGCAGCAGUGGGGAAUUUUCCGCAAUGGGCGAAAGCCUGACGGAGCAACGCCGCGUGAGGGAUGAAGGCCUCUGGGCUGUAAACCUCUUUUAUCAAGGAAGAAGAUCUGACGGUACUUGAUGAAUAAGCCACGGCUAAUUCCGUGCCAGCAGCCGCGGUAAUACGGGAGUGGCAAGCGUUAUCCGGAAUUAUUGGGCGUAAAGCGUCCGCAGGCGGCCCUACAAGUCUGCUGUUAAAAAGUGGAGCUUAACUCCAUCAUGGCAGUGGAAACUGUUGGGCUCGAGUGUGGUAGGGGCAGAGGGAAUUCCCGGUGUAGCGGUGAAAUGCGUAGAUAUCGGGAAGAACACCAGUGGCGAAGGCGCUCUGCUGGGCCAUCACUGACGCUCAUGGACGAAAGCCAGGGGAGCGAAAGGGAUUAGAUACCCCUGUAGUCCUGGCCGUAAACGAUGAACACUAGGUGUCGGGGGAAUCGACCCCUCCGGUGUCGUAGCCAACGCGUUAAGUGUUCCGCCUGGGGAGUACGCACGCGAGUGUGAAACUCAAAGGAAUUGACGGGGGCCCGCACAAGCGGUGGAGUAUGUGGUUUAAUUCGAUGCAACGCGAAGAACCUUACCAGGAUUUGACAUCCUGCGAAUCUCUUGAACUUGAGAGUGCCUUCGGGAGCGCAGUGACAGGUGUGCAUGCUGUCGUCAGCUCGUGUCGUGAGAUGUGGGUAGUCCCGCACGAGCGCACCCACGUCUUUAGUGCAGCAUAAGUGGGCACUCUAGAAGACCGCCGGUGAUAACCGGAGAAGGGUGGAUGACGUCAGUCAUCAUGCCCUUAUAUUCUGGGGUUACCCGUACUACAUGGUUCGGACAAAAGGGCGGCAAGUUCUCGAGGGGCAAGC